CUUGAAUUUAUUUCUCCUAACUAAAAUUUUGUAUCCUUUGGCCAAAAUUUCCCCAAUCCUUCCCCAACUGAAGACCUAUUCUACUCUCAGCUGUUAUGAGUUUGAAUUUUAUAGAUUCCACAUAUAAACAAGAUCAUGCAAUAUCUGUCUUUCUGUGCCUGGCUUUUUUCAUUUAAAUGUCCUUCAUGUUCUCACAAAUGAUAAGAUUUCAUCCUUUUCUCAUCCUAUUUUAUGGAUGAAUAGUAUUCCAUUAUGUCUGUGUGCAUAUGUGUAUAUCACAUUUUUUAAUCCAUGUAUUUGUUGAUGGACACUAAGAAUGAUUCCACAUUUUUUCUCUUAUAAAUAAUUAUGCAGUGAACAUGGGGAUAGAGGUGUCUCUUCAAUACUGAUUUCACUUCUGUUGGAGAUAUGGUUCGUAGUGAGAUUGCUGGGUAACAUGGUGGUUCUGUUUCUAAUUUUUUAGGAAACUCCAUGCUGUUUUAUGUAAUGGCUAUACAUAUUUACAUUCCCCCUAACAGCAUGCAAGUGUUCCCUCUUCUUUAAACUUGUUAUAUUUUGUCUUUUAGAUAACAGCCAUUCUAACAGAUAUUUCAUUGUGGUUUAAUUAGCUCUUCCCUGAAUAAUUAGUGAUGUUGAACAUUUUCUCAUGUAUCUGAUGGCUGUUGAUGUGUCUUUUGAGAAAUAUCUAUUUAGGUGCUUUUCCCAUUUAAAAAUUGAUUUAUUUGUUUUAUUGUUAUUCAGAUGUUUGAAUUUCUUACAUAUUUUGGAUAUUUGCCCCUUACGAAAAGGAUGCUUGUAAAUGUUUUCUCCCAUAAUGUCAGUUGUCUCUUCACUAUUGUCUCUUGUACUGAGUAGAAGCUGUUUAUAUAUUCCCAUUUGUCAGUUUUUGUUUUUGUUGCUUGAGAUUUCAG
RNAcentral lists this long non-coding RNA (911 nucleotides) under Marmota monax (woodchuck). Lineage: Eukaryota; Metazoa; Chordata; Mammalia; Rodentia; Sciuridae. The record is from RNAcentral.